UAAGAGGAAUGAUUUGAUAUGCACUGAGAAAAUCCAGGUAAAAAGUUUCUCUCCUUCCAAGCUCUGAGGCCUAGAAUUCCUUCAGAUCAAACCUGGAGAAACCUUGAUCAGGGAGUCAGGAUUCCUGGGUCUUGAAUCAUGCUCUGCACUUCCCAAAGCACUAAGAUUUGUUGAGCAUUGACUGUGCACCCAGCUCUGGGCUAAGCUAUGCACAUGUAUUCUCCUAAUUCCUUCCUCCCAGCAACCCUGUAAGAUGUGUUCAGUUACUACCGCUAUUUUGCCGAGGAGCAAACGGAGGCUUGGAAAAGUUCAGGAAUUUGCCCAGAGCGGCACAGUCGUAAUCAUGGGGCUGUGAUUUUCCAACAGGUAGGUCUGAUGCCCAGGACUCUGUCAGGAACCCGCAUCUUACUCUGCCUAGCUCUGAGGUAUCUUAGCUAACCUAAGGAGGAAGUCGAUCCCCGUGACUUCUAGGAACUUCUGACAAUGCUGUGAUGUCCUUAUUGGUUCCUUUGUUUUACAUCUUGCCCUUCUUAAAGGUUUCCCUUUAACAUGGAAACAGUCCAGGAUAGGUAACAAUUGUAAAUCCCCAUGAAGGAUUCUAAACCUUAAAGUAUAUCACAACCAGCUGGUGAGCUUCUAAAAAUGCUUAUUUUCGUGGCUGCUCACCAACACUCUGCUUUAGCACGUUUGAAAUGGGCGCCUAGAAUCCUGAUCCUCCCCAAGGCCUCCAGCCAAGUGAUUCUAAUGCAUGGGGUCUGAAGCCCACAGUAAAGAAUGUUAUUCCGGCCCCUUUUGGGGAAUUGGUUUAAUUGAUUGGAUGCUGGCCACAGUGGAAGUUAGGAGUGUUUUGGGUGAAUUGUGGCGCCUAGAUUCCUCACCUUGGCAGACCUGGCUGUGCCUCGCGUCCUCUGGUUCAGCUCCGCCCAUUGGUUCCCAAGUACUGCACAUUAGACUCACCUGGGUGGGGAAGCUUUUAGGGGCCCCUGGUAGCUCAGUUCGUUAAGUGCCUGGCUUUGGCUCAAGUCAUGAUCUCCUGGUUUCUCAUUUCAAGCCCCGAGUCGGGUUUGGUGCUGACAGCUCAGAGCCUGGAGCCUGCUUUGGAUUCUGUGUCUCCCUCUCUCUCUGCCACUGGCCGCACCCCCCCCCCCCAUCCCCGCUCAUGCUCUGUCUCUCUCUCAAAAACGAAUAAAAUAAAAAAACAUUAAUUAAGAAAAAAAAAAAAAAGAAUCACCUGGGAAGCUUGUAAAACCGUGCCAAUGGGGCACUUGAGUGGCUCAGUCGGUUAAGCGUCCAACUCUUGAUUUCAGCUCAGGUCAUGAUCUCCUGGUUUGGUUUGUGAGAUCCAGCCCUGCAUCAGGCUCUGUGCGGGCAGAGGGGAGCCUGCCUGGGACUCUCUCUUUCCCUUUCUCUCUGCUCCUCCUCCGCUUGUGCACUCACUCUCUUUCUUUCUCUCUCUCUCUUUGUCAAAAAUAAAUAAGUAAAUAAACAAAUAAACAUUAAAAAACAAGAGAGAACACCAUGCCAGGUCAUGCUCUAGGUCAAUUAAAUCCCAAUGUCUGGGAUUUGGAACUGGCUUCAGUACUUUUUUUUUUUUUUUUUUUUAAUAUUUCCAGAUGAUUCCUUUGCUCACCCGUUUGGGAACCACUGUCAGGCGUGUUAUGGAUUGUACACCUUUUUACCUGAAAGACACUUCCACUAUCCCAGUCCUUCUUAUGUCAUAAGACACAUCUGCAAGCCACUCUAUUCUCUAUCGGCUGUCCAGAUGCCCCCUCUCACUCCUCUGCUUUUUAUACUGCGUUUAAGUUUGUCAGCUCAUCACCUUGUUUGUACUUACUAUGUGUCUUCCCCCUGAGGGAAGAGACUUUAACGUGUAUGGCUCUCACCUGAUAGGAGGAGCAAGGCUAGGUAAGGGAAAGAAAAGACAAAAGCCAACUGGUCUGCCAUGGCUUUCUUCGUGCUAGCCCAGAUGGAGAGGAAUAAUAAUGGUUAUUAUAAGGAGGUUGCCCUGGCGCCGGACUCCUUGAAUAAAAUACCCUAGUAAAACUUUGGACCUCCCUCUUCUGGGGAGGAACAAAGAAUCCUGCUAAAAACAGUACCUUUUAAAUAAUGAUGUUAUGACUGAUAUUUUGAAAUUGGGAGUCUGCUGACAAAUGAUUCAGAAUGUAGGAACAAUUCAGAACGCGGACCAGCUUUCCUUACCAAGACGUUUGGGGCGACUCAUGAAAGCUUGGGAAGGAGUUUAAGAAUGAGUCAAAGUUCUCUCCAAAGUUUCCCUUUCUCUCUUUUGGUUGGUUGUUACCUUGGUCACUUAAGAAACAAACCCCGUCAUCCCGAACUGACAUGGUGACUCAGUUUCCCCAAAAACAGGAGUUGCACAGGGUCUGACUGUCACUUAGAUGUCCCCGCAGCUCUGUUAUGCUCUGCAGCCUACCUAGAGUUUUUAAUGCUUACCUAUUUUUAAGAGAAAGAGAGAGCACGAGCAAGCAUGAGUGGGGGAGGGGCAGAGAGAGAGAGAGGGGGACAAAUGAUCCUAAGUGGGCUCUGUGCUGACACCAGCGAGCUGAUGGGGGGCUCGAACUCAGGAACUGUGAGAUCACGCCCCAAGCCGAAGUCAGAUGCUCAACCAACAAAGUCACCCACGUGCUCCAGCCUAGAGGUUUAAAAAUGAAGACUCUUUGGAUGAAAAAUCUCGAUUUCUCGCCUCUCUUGAAAACUCAAAAACUCUUCCCGCCCUGAGUUCGCUUAUUUGGUGAUAACAGUCAGCAUUUGCCCCACCCCCACCCCCUUUCUUUGUUACUUAUUGUGAGAGAGACAGAGAGAGUGUGAGCAGGGGAGGGGCAGAGAGAGAGAGGGAGGAUCUGGAUCAGGCUCUGCUGUCAGUGCACAGCCCAACAGGACACUUAAACCCAUGAACCGUGACCUCAUGACCUGAGCCCAAAUCAAGAGUCAGAAGCUUAACCAACUGAGCCACCCGGGCACCCCUUUUUGUGGAGGCCUGUGUGCUCUAAGUUGCCAGUCUGCACUCCUUCCUAAUUCCACACAAACCAUUUCAAUUUAAGUUGCCUAUCUGAAUUUGGGGGGCUGGGGCAUCAGUAUCACCUGUUGGAACUUGUGAAAACACCAAUUGCUGGGCCCCACCAAUCUUCUUUAAGGAAGGGUUGUCGGUUCCCUAUGUAUGUAUGAAUGUAUGUAUGUGAGUUUGUAUACAUGGAAGUAUGUGUAUAUAUUAUCAGCAUGGGCUUACGUGUAUUUAUUUCAUUCUUUAGGUUACAAUCCAGUAAUAUUGUUGUUUCUUUUCUUGCUUAAAAUGUCUGAACUUAAGGCAUUGGGGGCUCUUUCAGGUUGGUUCCUGUGCCUUUUCAGUAAGUCUCUCCACACCUCACCCAGCCUUCUUUUUUUAAAAAGCAUUACCUUUAGCACUUUCUGGUACCAGAAGAUGCCCCAGGCUUAUCUUGUAUUUUCUAUACUUCCCCUAAAGACUUAACUAGUUCUCCAAGGAUCCAUGUUUCUUUUAUUGGAGAAAGGUAUUUAGAAACCAAGGUCUGGAUGCUAAGUGUGCUCAUUGCUAGUGGGGUGUCACUGCCUCUAGCACCUCUCAAUGGACAGACCUAGGAAAUACAUGUAGGCAUGCUAACUCAUGCAUAUACUCACACAGAUGUAUUUACAUAUUUGUGAAAAAUAUAUGUAUACAUACAUACAUAUAUCUACUGUCUGUAUGGAUGCCUUCAACUCCAACCCAUUACCAUAGGAUUCAUCCUGCUCUUGGGGGUAUCAGAUUUUUAAUCUUUGUAUGGCUUUUUUUUAAUGUUAACAGGGGCUCAGAACAUCCUGGGGGGUGGGAGGAAGGAAUAUUUUAUAAAUAUUACUGGAGGAAAAAAAGCUGACCCCAAGCUUGGCAUAACAAACAUGUCAGCGUAGCCCCAUGGUUAAUAUCCUUCAGCCCCAACUGAAAGCUACAGUUUGGAACACACAACCUCACUGUUCCUGAAGGUGGGCAGACGUGCCUCACUUCCCUUCUUACACAAACAGUUUGUCUCCAGCCCUAUGGAACAAUGCCUAUUGUAACGCUGAGCUGGCACUUGUGGAUUCUAAAUAUAAGCCAAGAUACUUCUCAAAGAUUAGAAUCAGAACUUUGCUUUACAUGUGAAAUCUUAUUUUGAAUGCAGGUACACAAUUACUCACUCAGAGACUUAAUUAUACUGCCUUAGGAUAGUAUUACAAUAGUUUUAAUUAUUUUUUGGGGGGUUACAAAAGUAACCUUUUGUCUCUUGAGGAAGGUGAAGUGACUAUAGUCUUUUUGAGAACUUGAAAUACAAAUUAACCAUCGGCUGUGAGGUUUAUCUGUGGUUCCUUCAUGUUUAUUCAAGAAGCAACCAUACUUGGAUGGGCUCCUCCUUCUUCUCAUUAUACUUAAUGUAAAUCUAGUGCUGCUUGGAUAUGUCUUUAUGAACUGUGCAGAGAACUGGAAAGAGAAUCCAACCAAGACGGUUCAUGGGCUGCUGGAGGUGUGGCUCAGUGGUUUGGAAAACAUUCUGGGUUUUAAACAGCAACACCUAUAAUUAUGGAGGCGUCAUCCCUUCCAUAAAAAAGAAAACAAAACAAAGAAAGCAAAGCCCUUCUACUAACAAGGUGUAGUCAUAGCACAUGUUCAGCCUUCCCCAAGCCUGUCUGGCAUUUGUUUCUGGCCUGGUGGGGGAAUAUCAUCCAUCUUUCGCUGAGCACUCAUCAAACAAUACAAAGGUGAACAAUUGGAGGGCAAUUAGCAGUCCCUUUGGGGUAAUAGGAGAGAGAAGUCACCUUGCUAUUAAUUUCAAAGGAAUUAAUCAUGGUUUACAUAUGCGAUUUAGUGGCUUAACGUUGCAAGGGGUUGAAAAACAAGGAAUCAACAAAGUUUACGAAAGACACCGGUGUAGCAAACCAGGUAUGCUGGCCAACUUACAAAACUAUCUGUUGAGUAGUCUAAGGCUGUAAAGAUUGAGAUGGUGCCUGUUGUCUCAGGGGCUACGUGCACCACAGAUCUGUGUUUCUCAAACUUGCAUAUGUGUGAGACUCAGCUGGGCAGUAUUGUUAAAAUGCAGAUACUUAUCCAGUAGGCAUCUCGAGGGGGCUGGGAUUCUGCAUUUCUGAUAUGCUGUCAGGUGGUGCUCCUAUUCCUGAUGACAUCUCAUCUUGCAUAGCUAGGCUGUAGAUUGUUCUGGUACCUGUGGUAAGGUAGGAUUGAGGCACUCAUACUCCCUUUAUGUAUUUUGAAAUUACCAAUGUGUUGCAAUGUGAAUGUCCUAGGGUUAAGGGAUUAGAAUAGCUUUCUGGAGUAGAGGUACUCGGCCAAAUAGUUUAUUGUAUCUUGUCGUUUCUAGGGACUACAGUCCAUUGGCACCUAUAGGGCAAGGAGCUAUCCUGUAUGUUACAGUUAACAGCAACCUCUUUUCGCCAGGACCAAUUUAGAAAAACCUAAACAUAUUUUCAAGCCAUGUUUAUUUAUGUUUAUAGAACUGUGCCCUUAAAAGCAGGAAAUGCAAUCUGUGUGAUUAAGUCCCCUUUCUGCGAUUAAAACCUCAGAAAAUG
Long non-coding RNA from Neofelis nebulosa (Clouded leopard), 5565 nucleotides. RefSeq lists it as uncharacterized. The transcript has 2 exons. NCBI's taxonomy places the organism in Eukaryota, Metazoa, Chordata, Mammalia, Carnivora, Felidae. The record is from RefSeq and is a predicted model, not a curated record.